Molecule: long non-coding RNA, 313 nt
Organism: Cyprinus carpio carpio
Lineage: Eukaryota; Metazoa; Chordata; Actinopteri; Cypriniformes; Cyprinidae
Source: Ensembl
CCGAGCGGCCAGAGAAACGGAGGAGCGGCUGUAGUAAGAGUGCGAUGAAGGACGAUGAAGGAUGGCUUAAUGCAGACCAGGAUGUGGACUUGUUUGCCUUGCACUGGUCUUACAUGCCACAACUUCAGAGGCAUCUGCAAGAAUUUCAGAGUGCCUGGAAUAGUCACAGUCUAAGAUCUGCAGGCAGCAGAACUCCUACUGCAGCUUUGGUCAAAUCAUGAGAAGGAAAACUCCAAUCAGGGCCCUCAAAUAUGCUAGACUGUUGGACAGCCUUAAGGAGCAAUCUGAGGUACUCUCUAGUUGGACCACCACC